GUGAACAAUUACGUUUUAUAUUUUCUUCCCAUUUAUGUGGCCAUAAAGAUGAGAUACCUGUCCUGUCUGAAGAGGGAGAAGAGGAAGAAGAGACUUAUUCUCAAAAAGUGGAGUCCGUGGAUAAAGUGCGAGCUAAGCAUGUGUCACUGAGAACCGAAUCUCUAGGCCAACCUCUAAACAGAGAGGAUGAAGAAACGGACAAAGAGAUUUCAGAAAAACUCCCUUCCAAAAGAACUGUGAAGCACAUCAUGGAAAAGAUGCAUCUCCACAUGCUCUGUACCCCUCUUCCCGAGGAGUUCCUGGACCAAAACGUGGUGUUUUUCCUCAGAAAUACCAAAGGUACAUUUCUGGCACGUGUGUGUGUAUGUGUGUUGAGGGGGUGUGGUUGUGCAUGCACUUGUUCACUCUCAUUCUGUUGUCUUUUUAUGGUUAUCUUUCACCUAUGCCAAGCUCUCUUUCUUUUCCAUACUGUACUGGGUUCUUACAUAGUCUUCUCAAAGCUAAUUUCCAGUAAAGAAGUGUUAGAGAUAAA
This 532-nucleotide long non-coding RNA is filed under the name Pan troglodytes (chimpanzee). RNAcentral describes it as "long non-coding RNA NONPTRT003702". The record is from RNAcentral. Lineage: Eukaryota; Metazoa; Chordata; Mammalia; Primates; Hominidae.